This 492-nucleotide ribosomal RNA is filed under the name uncultured bacterium. Its description in RNAcentral is "partial 16S ribosomal RNA". It matches the Rfam family "Bacterial small subunit ribosomal RNA", at positions 29 to 507 of the family's 1533-position model. The record is from RNAcentral.
AGUGAACGCUGGCGGUAGGCCUAACACAUGCAAGUCGAACGGCAGCACAGUAAGAGCUUGCUCUUACGGGUGGCGAGUGGCGGACGGGUGAGGAAUACAUCGGAAUCUACUUUUUCGUGGGGGAUAACGUAGGGAAACUUACGCUAAUACCGCAUACGACCUACGGGUGAAAGCAGGGGAUCUUCGGACCUUGCGCGAUUGAAUGAGCCGAUGUCGGAUUAGCUAGUUGGCGGGGUAAAGGCCCACCAAGGCGACGAUCCGUAGCUGGUCUGAGAGAAUGAUGAGCCACACUGGAACUGAGACACGGUCCAGACUCCUACGGGAGGCAGCAGUGGGGAAUAUUGGACAAUGGGCGCAAGCCUGAUCCAGCCAUACCGCGUGGGUGAAGAAGGCCUUCGGGUUGUAAAGCCCUUUUGUUGGGAAAGAAAAGCAGCAGGUUAAUACCCCGCUGUUCUGACGGUACCCAAAGAAUAAGCACCGGCUAACUUCGUG